CUUCUAUUACCUCUGUCCCAAAUGACUUGUCUUAGAUUUGUGUAGAUACGGAUGUCUCUAACACUAAAACGUGUCUAGAUACAUCCGUAUCUAGAUCAAGACAAGUAAUUCGGGACAGAGGGAGUAUAGA
This is a non-coding RNA of Triticum aestivum (bread wheat), 130 nucleotides long. NCBI's taxonomy places the organism in Eukaryota, Viridiplantae, Streptophyta, Magnoliopsida, Poales, Poaceae. The record is from Rfam.